Molecule: RNA transcript, 531 nt
Organism: Carlito syrichta (Philippine tarsier)
Lineage: Eukaryota; Metazoa; Chordata; Mammalia; Primates; Tarsiidae
Gene name: 40S ribosomal protein S20 pseudogene
Exons: 1
Source: RefSeq, a predicted model, not a curated record
UAAAGACUGAUAUGUGCCUUUUGAAGAUGACGUGGAUGUGGGUGCUGCGAGUCUGUGGUCCUCCCGCUCCCGCUCCUGACUCACCGCUGUUCGCUCUCGCUGAGGAACGAGUCGGUCAGGAAGCCGUGCUGCAGCCAUGGCUUUUAAAGACACCGGCAAGACGCCCGUGGAGGUGGCAGUCCACUGGAUUAGGAUCACCCUCACCAGCCACAAUGGGAAAUCUCUGGAGAAAGUAUGCACUGACCUGAUCAGAGGCACGAAGGAAAAGAAUCUCAAGGUGAAGGGACCUGUUCGCAUGCCAACCAAGACUUUGAGAAUCACUACCAGGAAAACUCGUUGUGGUGAAGGUUCCAGGACAUGGGAUUGCUUCCAGAUGAGAAUCCACAAGCUACUCAUCGACUUGCACAGUCCUUCUGAGAUUGUCAAGCAGAUUACUUACACCAGUAUUGAGUCGGGAGUUGAGGUUGAAGUCACCAUUGCUGAUGCUUAAGUCAAGUAUUUUAAUAAAUUGAUUACACUUGUUAAAAAAAA